GGAAGAGCUUGUGGGUUCAAAGCACUGGAGCUAAGCCAACCAACACUUCUCAGGUGGACAGUCAGAGGACAGCCAGAAGUGAAUCACUACGAGAAAACAGAUAAGCCUUUCCAAAACAUGCUUGAACCUGUAUGCUACUCCUUGGCGGCAGUUGAUGAUUUAAGCAAGAGUGUCUCCGGGAGCACAUGAUUACUUACAGAAAAUGCAUGCCAGUCAACUGUGAGUAACCCAGGGCUUUUUCUGGGUUCUGCUGGAAGGAUGUGCAGGGGGGUGGGGAGGAGGG
This 283-nucleotide long non-coding RNA is filed under the name Gopherus agassizii (Agassiz's desert tortoise). RNAcentral's name for it is "lncRNA (ENSGAGG00000015933.1)". The record is from RNAcentral. Lineage: Eukaryota; Metazoa; Chordata; Testudines; Testudinidae.